AUACGUAGGGGGCGAGCGUUGUCCGGAAUGAUUGGGCGUAAAGGGCGCGUAGGCGGCCCGGUAAGUCUGGAGUGAAAGUCCUGUUUUUAAGAUGGGAUUUGCUUUGGAUACUGUCGGGCUUGAGUGCAGGAGAGGUAAGGGGAAUUCCCAGUGUAGCGGUGAAAUGCGUAGAGAUUGGGAGGAAGACCAGUGGCGAAGGCGCCUUACUGGACUGUAACUGACACUGAGGCACGAAAGCGUGGGUAGCAAACAGGAUUAGAUACCCUGGUAGUCCACGCCGUAAACGAUGAGCACCAGGUGUCGGGGUCGCAAGACUUCGGUGCCGUAGUUAACGCAUUAAGUGCUCCGCCUGGGGAGUACGUACGCAAGUAUGAAACUCAAAUGAAUUGACGGGG
This 395-nucleotide ribosomal RNA is filed under the name uncultured bacterium. RNAcentral's name for it is "partial 16S ribosomal RNA". It matches the Rfam family "Bacterial small subunit ribosomal RNA", at positions 523 to 918 of the family's 1533-position model. The record is from RNAcentral.